AAGAGAGUCGGGAUAACACCUAGGAAACAGAUGCUAAUACCGGAUAACAACAGAUGAUGCCUAUCAACUGUUUAAAAGNUGGUUCUGCUAUCACUCUUGGAUGGACCUGCGGUGCAUUAGCUAGUUGGUAGGGUAACGGCCUACCCAAGGCGAUGAUGCAUAGCCGAGUUGAGAGACUGAUCGGCCACAUUGGGACUGAGACACGGCCCAAACUCCUACGGGAGGCAGCAGAC
RNAcentral lists this ribosomal RNA (233 nucleotides) under uncultured Lactobacillus sp. RNAcentral describes it as "partial 16S ribosomal RNA". It matches the Rfam family "Bacterial small subunit ribosomal RNA", at positions 132 to 354 of the family's 1533-position model. The record is from RNAcentral. Lineage: Bacteria; Bacillati; Bacillota; Bacilli; Lactobacillales; Lactobacillaceae.